UUAUGUGUGCAACAAAUAUAUUGUAACCUGGUCAGAUCUGGAAAGAAGCAGCCAUAUCAAUCAAUGUUUGUGUGCACUUUUUUUGU
RNAcentral lists this signal recognition particle RNA (86 nucleotides) under Bacillota bacterium. RNAcentral's name for it is "signal recognition particle sRNA small type". It matches the Rfam family "Bacterial small signal recognition particle RNA". From Rfam's summary of the family: The signal recognition particle (SRP) is a universally conserved ribonucleoprotein involved in the co-translational targeting of proteins to membranes. The record is from RNAcentral. Lineage: Bacteria; Bacillati; Bacillota.